UGGCGCCCAACGUGGGGCUCCUGGCAUGGAGGAUUCAACGAGCAAGCUGUUUGGAGACGCCAACCAAAAGUGAAACUAAAGAUCCAAGGCCUACGCUACGUGGGAGCCUGCUGCACCCUUUGAGCCAUGGUAAGUGAACGGCGAUCCCUUCCCCCUUUCCCAGCAUGGGUCAAGCAUUGAGUGACCAUGAACUUUUUGUGGGAGGCCUAAGUAAGGUGUUAAAGACAAAAGGGAUUAAGGCUAAAGAAAAAGAUUUAUUACAAUAUUUUCAACUUAUUCAUAAGGUUUGCCCCU
Molecule: non-coding RNA, 294 nt
Organism: Cavia porcellus (domestic guinea pig)
Lineage: Eukaryota; Metazoa; Chordata; Mammalia; Rodentia; Caviidae
Source: Rfam